UAAGACUAUUGGAAAUCCAAGGCAAAAUACUCCUGAAAAGUGGCUGUGUACAGUAAACAAGCAAGGCAGCUUCACGUUGAGGAGAGGCUGUUCACCGAAGAUGACAGCCGUUCCCAUGACAACGCUAAAAACCUUUCACCAUUGGGCAUCAACAGGAGAACAUCUCCCACGGCAAGUACACGAAGCCAGGAGUUUAGUCCUCAUCUUCCAUAAAUCACCCUGUUGGGCACUGAUAAAGAGGAACCGCCAGUUGCGCACGUGCAGCUCCACCUUCUAGGCACCAGCCUGGCUCCAGAUGAGAGGAAGAGCAAAUAAAGCUAAAGUGCCAGUGAGUUGGAUUUACGUAAAAGGAAAAUUAAGCUUGACUGAUGUUCCUACCCUUCCCUCUGCUCUCCAUCUGAGGAUCACCAUUUUUAAUGAUGAAAAGCCUAGCAAAAAUCCAGGCUGUUUUGCAAACUGCUGAAGAAGCCAAGUGAUUUUCACUGUUAUAGAGAAAUCAUUCACUGUCAUGAGAUGGAGGGAGAGGGAGGCCUUGGGAGAAUUCUGCUUUUUUUCACCCUAACCUUGUAGUGUCCAGCCUGUGAUUCAACAGUUUUCUUCUCCAUUUGAAACAGAAGUUGGUAAAAGACCAUUUUUCACCACUGGAUCUUCAUCGGGCCUGUCAGCUCCCAGAGUGUCAUGACACGUGGGUCUGAGCUUCUGCAGUCACCUGAAUGUAUGAGGAUCUGCUUCCUUUUUUAAGGAAAAAGCCCUUAUGCAUUUGGAAAAAAAAGACUUGAAAUGUGCCCAGAAAGCUCAGGAGCCAAAGGCGAACGCUCGGAGCUGCUGUUGGAGAGCACAAAGUGCAGUUGGACGCCUUCCCCCCGCGCACGAGUGUGUCUGUAGCCAUGGUGGGCUCCCCUGAAGCAGCGCCCAUCACCCAGUUCUGUGUCCUGGCUGCUGGGACAAAUGGCGGGAUGCAGGAGAGCAUCUCCAGGAAACAGUCCUCGAUUGCGUUAGAAGGGUGGUAGCUGGAGAACCUGGGUUUCUCCAAUGUGACAACAGGGUGCUGUUAUUUUUCCUCUCUCUGUUUUAACUCCGUCUAGCAGCUGCAUGUGAUGUGGAAACAGAUCCCUGAAAUGCUUUAACAGUGAGGGUGGCUUCAAGCUCGGUUCCGAGGCAAGGGGAUAAAUGAAGCUGCCUGGCUGCUGGGAGAGACACACGAGACCACCCCUCUGCCCUGCCAGGGGCAGGGUGUCAGCAGCUGGCCACGGAAAACCUCCCUGGCAGCUACCGCCCUGUGAGACACGCUUUGAUAAGAAAAAGGCAGGGGGAAAAAAAAAAAUAGUGGAAAAGAAUCUGCAAAAUUUCCACCUUCUGCCCCAGAAGAGUGGAGUGUGAACUGCAGGACCUGGUGAACAUAAACAUCUCGGCUUCCAAAAACUGGUUAAGCUUUUGCCGUCAAACAGCAAACGUCAAAACAGAGAAGUAAGUAUAUAUGCUAGCCCAGCCAGCCCUAGCAGUGCCCCUGUCUGCAUCACUGUGUCUUCGUUACCCACU
This is a long non-coding RNA of Chroicocephalus ridibundus (black-headed gull), 1539 nucleotides long. RefSeq lists it as uncharacterized. The transcript is spliced from 3 exons. The record is from RefSeq and is a predicted model, not a curated record. NCBI's taxonomy places the organism in Eukaryota, Metazoa, Chordata, Aves, Charadriiformes, Laridae.